AUGAGCCGCUCCUCGCGCCCCUGGCGCUGGGUGCCAUGGCCCGAGCCGAAGGCACCCGAGGUCCCGGAGCGCUCACGGCCUCUGCGCUUGGCCCGGCCGCCCACGAAGGAGAAAAAGGCGCAGCCCAGGAACAUUCGGAAGCAGCAGAUCGCCCCGAAAAAGAAGCCGCAGCCGCGGCCCUGCUCCGGGCGCUUCUGCAGCAGGAAAUCGAGCACCCACGCGGGGCUGCGCACGGAGAGGACCGGGAAGGUCAGGAGCGGCAGGUGGGCGCUCAGCGCGCUGAUUUUCAGCAGCCCGGACCCCCACACGGCGCUCCUGAAGCCCCGCAAGGCGUCGAAUAGGUCGUCCUCGUCCUCGUCGCUCGAGUCCGUGUCCCACUCGAUCCAGAUCCUACUCGUGGCCCCGGCGCCGGCGCCCACGCCGCCCCCGCCGGCGCCCUCCGCGGCGCCCUCGUCUGCGCCGCCGGCGGCGGUAGCGGCGGCGACCUCCAGGCCUUGGGCAUCCUCCUGGGCUUCUGGCACCUUCUUCUUCUUCUUCUUCUCCUUCUUCUUCUUCUUCUUCUGCAUCUUCUCCAACUUCUUCCUCUCCUUCUCCUUCUUCUUCUCCUUGUUUCUUCUCUGCUCCAAUAGCUUCCUCUCGAUCUUCCGCCGCUCCUUUUCGGUCAGCAACUUCUCGGAGGGCGCCUCUUGCUCCGGCUUCUUGCGGGGCUUCUCGGUGUCCCCUUUCUUCCGCGGCGCGCGCGGCUCGGCCAGCGCUGCAGCCACCGCCGCAGCUUCGGCAGCCACCUCGGCCGCAGCCAACGCUGUCUUCCUCUCGCUCUCCACCGCCCAAGCUUUGAUCUUCAUGGCCAUCUUCAGCAUGGUGGCUCGGCCACCUCGGGGUGCUUGGCUCUCGCCUGGCCCGGGCGCCCUGCUUGCCCCCGGCCUCGGGCUGGCUGGACCCCGUGCGCCCCGUGUCGGGGGAGUCGGCUGCGAUCCCCGCUGCGCUGCCCCGGGGCCGCGGAGCGCGGCUGCCGGGCUUCGUUCGGGCUGCUGGGCUGGCUGCCUAAGAGUUAGCGCCAAAAAAGGGUGA
This 1071-nucleotide long non-coding RNA is filed under the name Delphinapterus leucas (beluga whale). RNAcentral's name for it is "lncRNA (ENSDLEG00000000987.1)". The record is from RNAcentral. Lineage: Eukaryota; Metazoa; Chordata; Mammalia; Artiodactyla; Monodontidae.